Molecule: long non-coding RNA, 1271 nt
Filed under: Homo sapiens (human)
Lineage: Eukaryota; Metazoa; Chordata; Mammalia; Primates; Hominidae
Description: cancer susceptibility 15
Source: RNAcentral
AAUGGAGAACAUUUACAGAGGACUGUGGGUAAAGCAAAGUCUUCAAGGGAAGAUAACAAAGGAUGAAACAAUGGUGUUGUGUGACUUCCUAGUAAAAUCUACUGGUGGAGUCACUCCAUUAUUCUUAUCUGUGGAGAUCUAGAUCUUGAUUUGAAAGUUUCUGAGAAAAUCUUCAGCUCAGACUUGAGGGUCAACUUUACCAGCUGAAGGAUCUGCAUUUACUGCUCAACCACAUCUAAUUUGAUGUCCUCUGCAGAUUUAAAAUGUGUGCCUUCUUUUCCGUCACCAAGUCAUCCCUGGGUUACUACUGAACAUCCUUCUCAAUUCCCCCCGACCCAUGGAUGGCUGUUCUCCAUUGUCUGUUUCACCAGAUGUCCUCAAAACAAACAGACAGAAGAAGGAAGUGGCUAAUGUGAUGGGCUGUUGCCAGCUUCUACUUACUGCCCCAGUCCCAGCAUGGACUGAGUAUUUGCUCUGAGAAAGCAGUUCCUCACAUGUCAUCUGAAAUGAGUAUCAAUGUGGACUUCUGACAUACUGGUUUAGCCUUUUUUGAGCUGUGGAGUCCAAGUGUGACUGCCAAGAGGAAUCCAGCAAAGCCAAAAAGCCCAAGCAUGUAGCCCUGCCCGAAGCACGCCACACGCAUGGAAAACCCAGAGGAAAUGAGUGAGGAUCAAUGGGAAGAAGAGAGCCAGCCAGGUUCGAUGCCUUCUCCAUCCGUCAGUGAGGGUGUGGAGAGCCUGCAGGCGUGUGCCUCCCUCUGUAACUUGCUAUUCCUUGUGUAAUGUCAAGUGGAAGUGUGAAGCACCACAAACUGCUCUGAGCAGAGCCCACUUCCCUUCACCCACGGAGAGCGUGAAGCAGUUACACCAACAUCAAUCAAGGAAAACCCACAGGCUGAGCUCACACGGUUGAAGCAGGAAGUUGAAGAUUUGUCCAGGAGCAGAUAGCUGAAGAGAGAGAGAGAGAAGAGAGAACGGCUUACAGCUCAGUUCUGGAGACCAGAAGGCCAAAAUCAAAAGUAUGGGCAGGCUUGAUUUCUUUAGAAGACUCCAGCGGAGAACUGUGUCUCCUUGCUUCUGAUUCUACAUCUCCAUCCAUGGGCCACUGUUUCAGCAACCUCAGCCAGUGCAACACAACCUCAGCCAAGAAGAGUAUGCAGAGAAAGGAGUCCCCUACCUGCCACAAAACUGUUGUCUGAAAACUGUCUCAUAUUGUCUCAAGUUGUCAUUCAUUGUGAAUUAGACCUGUUUAACAUGUAAUCUGCAACAUGC